RNAcentral lists this long non-coding RNA (277 nucleotides) under Trifolium pratense (red clover). Its description in RNAcentral is "long non-coding RNA (TPRA_LNC011130)". Lineage: Eukaryota; Viridiplantae; Streptophyta; Magnoliopsida; Fabales; Fabaceae. The record is from RNAcentral.
GUUGGAAAAUAUUUAGUUUCCUAGUUUGUUAUUUCUAGGAGAUUCUAAGCUUAUAUAUUAUUUCCUUUUAUGUUUGUACUCUUCCUAUUUAAACCAGCCUUGAGCUGAGGAAUAACACAAAAAACAAUAUUCACUUAUUAUUUUCUACAUGGUAUCGAGAGCUCCCGAUUUUGGGGGUCUCGCUUCCGCAAAACCCUAGCCGCCGUCGUGUUUACAAUCUGACCACGACAACUGAUUUUGUGUGCGGUACUGUUCAUUCGCUGGCACUGUUCAUACG